Molecule: ribosomal RNA, 255 nt
Filed under: uncultured bacterium
Lineage: Bacteria
Description: partial 16S ribosomal RNA
Rfam family: Bacterial small subunit ribosomal RNA
Source: RNAcentral
UACAGAGGUCCCAAGCGUUGUUCGGAUUCACUGGGCGUAAAGGGUGCGUAGGCGGUCGGGUAAGUCUGAUGUGAAAUCUCACAGCUUAACUGUGAAACUGCAUUGGAUACUAUCCGGCUCGAGGAAUGGAGGGGGAGACUGGAAUACUUGGUGUAGCAGUGAAAUGCGUAGAUAUCAAGUGGAACACCAGUGGCGAAGGCGAACUUACUGGACUGUAACUGACGCUGAGGCAUGAAAGCGUGGGGAGCAAACAGG